UAUUUAUAUAGUUUAAUUAUUAAAACAUUACAUUUUCACUGUAAAAAUAUAAUUUAAUUUAUUAUUAUAAAUAU
Molecule: transfer RNA, 74 nt
Filed under: Anartia jatrophae saturata
Lineage: Eukaryota; Metazoa; Arthropoda; Insecta; Lepidoptera; Nymphalidae
Description: tRNA-Glu
Rfam family: tRNA
About the family: Transfer RNA (tRNA) molecules are approximately 80 nucleotides in length.
Source: RNAcentral